UACAGAGGUCUCAAGCGUUGUUCGGAAUCACUGGGCGUAAAGGGUGCGUAGGCGGCACGGUAAGUCAGAGGUGAAAUCCCGGAGCUCAACUUCGGAAUUGCCUCCGAUACUGCCGUGCUUGAGGACUGGAGAGGAGAUUGGAAUUCACAGUGGAGCAGUGAAAUGCGUAGAUAUUGUGAGGAACACUAGUGGUGAAGGCGAAUCUCUGGACAGUUCCUGACGCUGAGGCACGAAGGCCAGGGGAGCAAACGGG
This 253-nucleotide ribosomal RNA is filed under the name uncultured bacterium. RNAcentral's name for it is "partial 16S ribosomal RNA". It matches the Rfam family "Bacterial small subunit ribosomal RNA", at positions 524 to 776 of the family's 1533-position model. The record is from RNAcentral.